GGAGAGGUGGCAGAGUGGUCGAAUGCACUCGACUUGAAAUCGAGAGAUUGGAGACAAUCCGAGGGUUCGAAUCCCUCCCUCUCCG
Transfer RNA from Oscillatoriales cyanobacterium, 85 nucleotides. It matches the Rfam family "tRNA". Rfam says of the family: Transfer RNA (tRNA) molecules are approximately 80 nucleotides in length. Their secondary structure includes four short double-helical elements and three loops (D, anti-codon, and T loops). Further hydrogen bonds mediate the characteristic L-shaped molecular structure. tRNAs have two regions of fundamental functional importance: the anti-codon, which is responsible for specific mRNA codon recognition, and the 3' end, to which the tRNAs corresponding amino acid is attached (by aminoacyl-tRNA synthetases). tRNAs cope with the degeneracy of the genetic code in two manners: having more than one tRNA (with a specific anti-codon) for a particular amino acid; and 'wobble' base-pairing, i.e. permitting non-standard base-pairing at the 3rd anti-codon position. Lineage: Bacteria; Bacillati; Cyanobacteriota; Cyanophyceae; Oscillatoriales. The record is from Rfam.